This 670-nucleotide ribosomal RNA is filed under the name Bacillus licheniformis. Its description in RNAcentral is "partial 16S ribosomal RNA". It matches the Rfam family "Bacterial small subunit ribosomal RNA", at positions 816 to 1487 of the family's 1533-position model. The record is from RNAcentral. Lineage: Bacteria; Bacillati; Bacillota; Bacilli; Caryophanales; Bacillaceae.
UUAAGUUUUGGGGGGUUUUCCCCCUUUAGGGGGGAAAUUAACCCCUUAACCCCCCCCCCGGGGGAAUCGGGCCCCAAAGGUAAAACCAAAAGAAAUUGGGGGGGGCCCCCCAAAGGGGGGGGCCCUGGGGUUUAAUUUGAAAAAACGGAAAAAACCUUCCCGGGUUUUGAACUCCUUUGACCACCCUAGAGAUAGGGUUUUUCCUUUGGGGGCAAGGGUGCCAGGUGGGCCAUGGUGUUGUUCAGUUGGGUUCGGGAGAUGUUGGGUUAAUUCCCCCAAGGAGCCCAACCCUUGUUUUUAGUGCCCUUCAUUUAGUGGGCCAUUUUAAGGGGACUCCGGGGGCCAACCCGGAGGAAGGGGGGGAGGAGGUCAAUUCUUCAUCCCCUUUAUGCCUUGGGUUCCCCACGUGUUCCAAUGGCGGUUCCAAAAGGUGCCAAACCCGGAGGGGGGAGUUAUUUCAAAAAACCCUUUUCCAUUUGGGAUGUUGGGUGCCAAUUGCCUUCCAGGAAGCGGGAAUCGUUGGUAUUCGGGGUUCACCAUGCCCCGGGGAAUACUUUCCCGGCCUUGGUCCCCCCCCCCCGCCCCCCCCGGGGAUUUGGUACCACCGGAAUUGGGGGGGGUACCUUUUUGGAGCCAGCCGCCUAAGGUGGGACAGAUGAUGGGGGAAGUC